CGGUGAGGGAUGAAAGCUGGGGGAGCAANCCGGAUUAGAUACCCGGGUAGUCCCAGCUGUAAACUAUGCAAACUCAGUGAUGCAUUGGCUUGUGGCCAAUGCAGUGUUGCAGGGAAGCCGUUAAGUUUGCCGCCUGGGAAGUACGUACGCAAGUAUGAAACUUAAAGGAAUUGGCGGGGGAGCACCACAAGGGGUGAAGCCUGCGGUUCAAUUGGAGUCAACGCCAGAAAUCUUACCCGGAGAGACAGCAGAAUGAAGGUCAAGCUGAAGACUUUACCAGACAAGCUGAGAGGUGGUGCAUGGCCGUCGCCAGCUCGUGCCGUGAGAUGUCCUGUUAAGUCAGGUAACGAGCGAGAUCCCUGCCUCUAGUUGCCACCAUUACUCUCAGGAGUAGUGGGGCGAAUUAGCGGGACCGCCGCAGUUAAUGCGGAGGAAGGAAGGGGCCACGGCAGGUCAGUAUGCCCCGAAACUCUGGGGCCACACGCGGGCUGCAAUGGUAAUGACAACGGGUCCCGAAUCCGAAAGGAAGAGGUAAUCCUCAAACAUUACCACAGUUAUGACUGAGGGCUGCAACUCGCCCUCACGAAUAUGGAAUCCCUAGUAACUGCGUGUCAUUAUCGCGCGGUGAAUACGUCCCUGCUCCUUGCACACACCGCCCGU
RNAcentral lists this ribosomal RNA (660 nucleotides) under uncultured sediment archaeon. RNAcentral's name for it is "bacterial SSU rRNA". It matches the Rfam family "Archaeal small subunit ribosomal RNA", at positions 695 to 1353 of the family's 1478-position model. The record is from RNAcentral.